CGGUGUCAUGGCGUCAAUUGCAAGGCCAGGGCACAAAAGGGAGCACUAAAUGUUUGAUAGACCACCAUUUUUUGCUUCUAUUCUCUGUGGACUGCUUAGAAAGAACCUGGGAGACCUCCAAACUACGCAAUGGAGGUGGUGACCUUGGAGGAUGUGGUUGUGAACUUCAGCAAUGAGGAGUGGACUUUGCUGAGUCUAUCCCAAAAGAACCUCAACAGAGAUGUGAUGGGUGAAACCUUUAGGAACAUGACUGCAAGAGCUUCAAGUGUUGUUCCAAGUGAGGGAGUGAGUUCACCCAGAUUGGGACGGGAUUCCAUGCCUACGCCGAACCUGCUGGCAAGGUAGGGAGAUCCCCCACACUGCAAUUGGAAUCUGUUCCUCGGCCCCACUUGCUGGUCCCAGCAGGAAUCCUUUGGCUGGUCCCCAGGUGAGGAAGAGAAUUACCCCAGACUGGGGAAGAAUUCUGUGCCUUGGCCCGACUCCCUGGUUCCAACUUGCUGGUCCCAAAUCACUGGUCCCAGUGGGCAACCACGGGCUGGUCCCCAGAUGAGGAAGGGAGUUCCUCCAGACUUGAUUAUAUUCCGUGCCUUGGCCUGACUUGCUGGUCCUGGCAGGAAACCACGGGUUCUACAUCAGGUUUGAUUAUUAACUGCUUUCACAUCCUACAACGUCUUCAAAUUGUGUUUUUAUAAAAAUAGCUAUAUAAUGUUAUGCUUAAUUGUAUAGUCCCGGAUGAUGUGGACAAUUCUAUUGAAAAUAACAAGAGAAAGCAUAAUAAGUACUUUAUAUCUCCUAAUAUUGUGGUCUUAUAUGUCUCGUUCAUAUCAUGAUUUUCUAGGAAUUUGUUUUGUUGUCUUAUUUUGAUCUGUUUUCCCCUAUAACACAGAAAGGAUAGAUAUACACAUAGAGAUUCACACAUCGGAAGAAUUUCUAACCUAUUUAUUUGAACAAAUAAUAUAAUGCAUAAUGUAAUGAACAGAUACUCUGAAGAAGAAAUGACACUAAGAAACCCCAAGCUAAUUCUGUAGCAUUAUGAUAUAAAAUUGAGCAAUACUAUUAUUUACUGUUCAGAGUGAUAUUAGUCUAGUCUCUUAUUUUUUUGUGAACUGUAAUUUUAACAUGGCAUUGUUUUAAUCUUUUGAUGCACAUGCUUCAUUUUCUCUUUCAUAAAUGAUGUUUCUGAAGUUGAUGCAAUAUUUGGCAUUAAGGUAUACAUUUGUAGAGGUUGGAGUAUGUGUUUUUGACAAAGUUGUGUUCUUUUCACGUAACUUGUACAUUACUGAAUGUUAUGUUUUCCAAGUUGUGACAAGACAUCUGCUGAUUUCCUAACAUCACUGGAUAUCAUACCAUGUAAAUUAUGUUGCCUGAUUUUGUUUCUCGGUGGAGCCAAUAUUUGUUAUUUAAGUAAACCUUUGUUUUUCUAACCAUCAGAAUUUUACUUGUUAUGUUUAUAUUACAUCUUUAUUUGCUAGUAAGGUUUCCCCACAUGUACCAAAUGUAAACCAUACUACUGUGAAUUUCUGAUUGUGCCAUACUGACAGAAUCAUAACUUGUCUCCAAUAGUACAUCACAAUAUAUAUAUAUAUAUAUAUAUCUCCAGAAAUUAUAAAAUUUGGCAUGAUUUAUGAGUAACCAUAUUUUGAAAUCAGUUUUUCUUAAAUAUGGAGUUGUUUGGGGGGAAAUGUUGUUAUUAGAUGUAUCAUGCAAAUGCCUUUAUUUUAUUCCUCGAUGCUGUGAAUGCAUUAUAUAUUUUGUAAUUAUUACUGUUUUUUCCAAAAAUACUGAAGUAAUGGCAUGAAGGGAAACCUAAAUUUUGAGCUGUCAACACAGUAAAAAGUAAAUUUGCUAAAUUAA
Cavia porcellus (domestic guinea pig) is the source of this 1854-nucleotide long non-coding RNA. RefSeq lists it as uncharacterized. The record is from RefSeq and is a predicted model, not a curated record. Lineage: Eukaryota; Metazoa; Chordata; Mammalia; Rodentia; Caviidae. The transcript has 3 exons.